Molecule: non-coding RNA, 1019 nt
Organism: Chlorocebus sabaeus (green monkey)
Lineage: Eukaryota; Metazoa; Chordata; Mammalia; Primates; Cercopithecidae
Source: RefSeq, a predicted model, not a curated record
GUCUUUAAAACAAAACCAAAACACCUCUUGUGGUAUAUGUGUCUUUUAUAAAACCACUUUUAAAAAUAUAUUUUUAAGGUGGGAAAUACAAUGUAUUUUCCCUCUUGGGAAAGUUUCCCUUGAUUUUAUCCAAACUCCUGGGGACUGGUGCUGCAGCCCACUGCUCACAUUCUUGGCUAUCUCGAAUGUGUUUUCUAUUUCAUGUCUCCUCAGGUGUCUCCUACAGCUACUUGUGUGGUGUUUGAAUAUUGGCCUUCCAGCAUUUCUUGUUGAAUUAUUUCAGGCUCACCUUGGUCAUAAUGAGUGGACCUGGCUUUACCCAGGGCUUCAGCCUUUGGCAUUUCACAUGAGGAAUACCCACUGAGCUGGAGGUCAAGAGGCCUGACUUUUAAUCUUGGCUCUGCCCCAGACAAGUGUGAACUUGGGAAAGAACACUGAGGGCCAGGAAAUGUUGAGUGACCUGUCCAUACUCACACAGCAUGGAAGAAUCAGAGCCCAUGGGGUCAGGACCUAUGGGCUUAGGAUAUACCGGAAGAGGCCUGAUUUCCAGUUAAGCAUUUGCCAAAAAUCAGCAGUGUGAUUUGGGCAAGUCAUUUUCCCUACUGAUUAAAGUGAAUUAACAGAAGGCAAUGCAAAAUUUUCUAGGUUCCUUAUCUAUUUUGUGGAUUGAAAAUAGGGUCUAGGUAGAUUGACAGACAUAGAACUUCCUGGUGAAAUAAAUGGGACUGAGCUGGACACAAAAAUCAAGAUAUGAUUUUACUCAUUUGCCAUUUUCAUCAUUUUCUGAAGGAUAUUUACAGCUUAAUGUGUCUUCACGUUAGCAAUGUUUGAUGCUCUUGGCAAUUAUUUUCCUCUUAGCAAGAUUUUGCAGAAGAAUACAUUACCCUUUACUAAGUGCUGUUGUUGAACAGAAAUGAAGCCAAGGAAACCUGCAUGAUCUCUAAGGACCUCAGCACUCACUAGUAGGUCUAAAAACUUAAUGAGCAUUAAUGGGCAUUAAAUGCAAUGCUUAUUCUUUU